This 425-nucleotide ribosomal RNA is filed under the name uncultured bacterium. Its description in RNAcentral is "partial 16S ribosomal RNA". It matches the Rfam family "Bacterial small subunit ribosomal RNA", at positions 354 to 796 of the family's 1533-position model. The record is from RNAcentral.
GUGGGGAAUCUUGCGCAAUGGGCGAAAGCCUGACGCAGCCAUGCCGCGUGAAUGAUGAAGGUCUUAGGAUUGUAAAAUUCUUUCACCGGGGACGAUAAUGACGGUACCCGGAGAAGAAGCUCCGGCUAACUUCGUGCCAGCAGCCGCUGUAAUACGAAGGGGGCUAGCGUUGCUCGGAAUUACUGGGCGUAAAGGGCGCGUAGGCGGACAGCUUAGUCAGAGGUGAAAGCCCAGGGCUCAACCUUGGAAUUGCCUUUGAUACUGGCUGUCUUGAGUUUGGGAGAGGUGAGUGGAACUCCGAGUGUAGAGGUGAAAUUCGUAGAUAUUCGGAAGAACACCAGUGGCGAAGGCGACUCACUGGCCCAAUACUGACGCUGAGGCGCGAAAGCGUGGGGAGCAAACAGGAUUAGAUACCCUGGUAGUCC